GUGUGUUUAGCUCAGUGGGAUUAGAGCAACUCUUGUGAAUGUAGAAGGUUGUGGGUUCAGAUUCCACAACACACA
Molecule: transfer RNA, 75 nt
Filed under: Puccinia triticina 1-1 BBBD Race 1
Lineage: Eukaryota; Fungi; Basidiomycota; Pucciniomycetes; Pucciniales; Pucciniaceae
Description: tRNA-Und (NNN) (tRNA-Und-NNN-58-1)
Rfam family: tRNA
About the family: Transfer RNA (tRNA) molecules are approximately 80 nucleotides in length. Their secondary structure includes four short double-helical elements and three loops (D, anti-codon, and T loops).
Source: Rfam by way of RNAcentral